CAUCCUGUUUGUCAUUGCUUAUCUAGUUAGAAGCUAGAGGGAGCAACUCAGAACCAUUCUAUAAUGUUAUAAAGUUACUCAGAGCUUGAUAAUGGUCUAACGUAAAUCUAAUGUUAAUCCUUCUCACAGAUACCCACCAAGGCAGAAUAUGGCCACUUGGAAGUAAGCUUACCUUUCCUAAAGGAUCUAAUGGCUACUGGAGCAGGCAGCUUUCGUUCAUGAAGAUACGGUGAAAAGGAGUAAGGAGAAGUUUGAGAGAGUCAGCCUGUCCAUGGAACUUGUAAUGACUCAGCGCUGAUCUAUGCCAGAUGUAAAAUCCCUGCUGUCAUUGGUGAGGCUACCACUGCUAUUGAAAAUAUGUGAACGUACUGUAGAUCAAGUAAGGUUCCAGUCUAAGUCAAAGUGGAUAUAUGCAGAGAAACAGAAGUUGAAGAGGGGGAAAACAGAAGCCUCCACUGCUGUUUACCUUUACUUAGCACACUCUCCUGAAGAAUAUGUUGGAUUUCUGCCAGUUUUUGAAAUUGAACUUUGGUGCCUUUUGCCUUUUUAAUGGCUCGUCUCAUGAUUGGAAGAAUUGGAGUGUAUUUUCUGAUUGAUUGAUUGAUUGAUUGGUGAGGUAAUGAACAUUGUAACAAUAUAUUGUACAUUUUUACAGGCUUGCUAAUAUUUCCCAAAGGCUUGCACAUUGUUUUCUGAGAUACUACUCUAAAAUGUCGCUAUAUGGCUCAUUACAUCACACUUAAAGACAUAUCGUUCACUCAAUUCUAUGGUGUAUGCACUGUGAAUGAGAUCUAAGAUCAUAGCUAAGUUACUGCAAGGACUUUUUUAAUUUUGCAACGUGUAAUGGAUAUGGCAAGCAGAUACUGUAUUUUCAUC
Molecule: long non-coding RNA, 876 nt
Organism: Alosa sapidissima (American shad)
Lineage: Eukaryota; Metazoa; Chordata; Actinopteri; Clupeiformes; Clupeidae
Exons: 3
Source: RefSeq, a predicted model, not a curated record